RNAcentral lists this ribosomal RNA (347 nucleotides) under uncultured bacterium. RNAcentral's name for it is "partial 16S ribosomal RNA". It matches the Rfam family "Bacterial small subunit ribosomal RNA", at positions 338 to 682 of the family's 1533-position model. The record is from RNAcentral.
CCUACGGGAGGCAGCAGUGAGGAAUAUUGGUCAAUGGACGAGAGUCUGAACCAGCCAAGUAGCGUGAAGGAGGAAGGCACAGAGGGUUGUAAACGUCUUUUAUAAAGGAAUAAAACGAGGCACGUGUGCCCUGUUGCGUGUACCUUAUGAAUAAGGAUCGGCUAACUCCGUGCCAGCAGCCGCGGUAAUACGGAGGAUCCGAGCGUUAUCCGGAUUUAGUGGGUUUAAAGGGAGCGUAGGUGGGUCGUUAAGUCAGUUGUGAAGGUUUGCGGCUCAACCGCAGAAUUGCAAUUGAUACUGGCAGUCUUGAGUACAGUUGAUGUCGGCGGAAUUCGUGUUGUAGCGGU